This 238-nucleotide ribosomal RNA is filed under the name uncultured bacterium. Its description in RNAcentral is "partial 16S ribosomal RNA". It matches the Rfam family "Bacterial small subunit ribosomal RNA", at positions 539 to 776 of the family's 1533-position model. The record is from RNAcentral.
CGUUGUUCGGAAUCACUGGGCUUAAAGGGCGCGUAGGCGGGUGCUUAAGUCCGGGGUGAAAUCCUCCAGCUCAACUGGAGAACUGCCUCGGAUACUGGGUGCCUCGAGGGUGGUAGGGGUAUGCGGAACUAUCGGUGGAGCGGUGAAAUGCGUAGAUAUCGAUAGGAACUCCGGUGGCGAAGGCGGCAUACUGGACCACAUCUGACGCUGAGGCGCGAAAGCCAGGGGAGCAAACGGG